GAUGAACGCUGGCGGCGUGCCUAAUAUAUGCAAGUCGAACGAAACUUCUUUAUCACCGAGUGCUUGCACUCACCGAUAAAGAGUUGAGUGGCGAACGGGUGAGUAACACGUGGGCAACCUGCCCCAAAGAGGGGGAUAACACUUGGAAACAGGUGCUAAUACCGCAUAACCAUAGUUACCGCAUGGUAACUAUGUAAAAGGUGGCUAUACUACCGCUUUUGGAUGGGCCCGCGGCGCAUCAGCUAGUUGGUAGGGUAAAGGCUUACCAAGGCAAUGAUGCAUAGCCGAAUUGAGGAGUUGAGCGGCCACAUUGGGACUGAAACACGGCCCAAACUCCUACGGGAGGCAGCAAGAGGGAAUCUUCCACAGUGGGCGAAAGCCUGAUGGAGCAACGCCGCGUGGGUGAAGAAGGUCUUCGGAUCGUAAAACCCUGUUGUUAGAGAAGAAAGUGCGUGAGAGUAACUGUUCACGUUUCGACGGUAUCUAACCAGAAAGCCACGGCUAAGUACGUG
Molecule: ribosomal RNA, 512 nt
Filed under: uncultured bacterium
Lineage: Bacteria
Description: partial 16S ribosomal RNA
Rfam family: Bacterial small subunit ribosomal RNA
Source: RNAcentral